GCCACCGUGGAUCAGUGGGAGAUCGUCCUCGUUCAGUAAAUUGAUUAGUUGUAUUGAGGAGGAAGAGGUGGGUUCGACUCCCACCGGUGGCA
This is a non-coding RNA of Mycena vulgaris, 92 nucleotides long. The record is from the annotation of a GenBank genome assembly. Lineage: Eukaryota; Fungi; Basidiomycota; Agaricomycetes; Agaricales; Mycenaceae.